AUACGGAGGGUGCAAGCGUUGUCCGGAUUUAUUGGGUUUAAAGGGUGUGUAGGCGGUGUAUUAAGUCAGUGGUGAAAGCCUGCGGCUCAACCGUAGAACUGCCAUUGAUACUGACACACUUGAGUUUGGUUGAGGUAGGCGGAAUUUAUGGUGUAGCGGUGAAAUGCAUAGAUACCAUAAAGAACACCGAUAGCGAAGGCAGCUUACUAAGCCGAAACUGACGCUGAGGCACGAAAGCGUGGGGAGCGAACAGGAUUAGAUACCCCGGUAGUCC
This 274-nucleotide ribosomal RNA is filed under the name uncultured bacterium. Its description in RNAcentral is "partial 16S ribosomal RNA". It matches the Rfam family "Bacterial small subunit ribosomal RNA", at positions 523 to 796 of the family's 1533-position model. The record is from RNAcentral.